UGAUUUUCUCAAGCACAGCAGACAUAUCGUGAGAUGAGAGGUUCUCAGGGGAACAUUGUCAGAGCGACUCUGGGAGAGGAACACUACGUAACUUUGUCGCACACAGAACUGCACUGAGAUGAGAGAAUCUCAUUCUGUCCCUGAACCAUCCUAGCACAUCUCUGCCCAGAAGAGAAUUAUCCCUAAAAGGUCCAUCAUCAUUCUGCUUAGAUGCACAGAUUCCACACUUCUUGUGUUUCAACUGUUCCUGAUCCUGACUGAGCAGGAUAUUUAGAAAGGGCAUCUUGGACCAAGGACAAUGGGAGCCACAUCAUGUCCUGACUUGCAUUCCCUCAACUCUUCCUGUUGAGAGCACUCCUUUAGCAGCCUCCACUCUUCUUGCUUCGCCUGCCCGCCUGCCUGCCUGCCUUUUCAGCUGUUUGCUCAGAAGCUGGGCUCUGUUUGCUGAGCCCUUAUUCAUUUUCAUAUUGCUGGGAUAUUCUCAGCUCCUCCCCUGGGCCUUUGGGAGAACUUCAAGUGGCAAGAAGCACACUGGGCCAUCAAGAUUAAAAAUUUACGAGAA
Mastomys coucha (southern multimammate mouse) is the source of this 562-nucleotide long non-coding RNA. RefSeq lists it as uncharacterized. The transcript is spliced from 4 exons. The record is from RefSeq and is a predicted model, not a curated record. NCBI's taxonomy places the organism in Eukaryota, Metazoa, Chordata, Mammalia, Rodentia, Muridae.